GUCGAGAUAAGAAGUGUGUCUGGCAAGCGAUAGUGGCCGUGUUGCGGGAGCUCGCGUGUGUAUAUUACCAAAUUCCAUGUCCGUCUCGCAAACAUUUCGAUUCUAGUCGCGGUCCGGACGGCACCUGGGCGCAACCCGUGAUAAGUUAGUGCAAUUUAGUGUUUAUACUUAGUGCAAUGUUCCCCGUGUACCCGCUCAAAGUGAAUUGUCUUGCGAUUAUUGGAUUAUUAACUUUCCUGCAAUUGACACUUGACAGCCAGAGUCAGCUGUUGAUAAAUGUACAAAACCAGGGAGGCGAAGUGGUUCAGGAAACUAUAACAUCAAACGUUAGCGACGACCUUAUUACGUUGGAAUUUCAAAGGACCGAUGGCACACUCAUAACACAACUUAUAGAUUUUCGAAAUGAAGUUCGAAUUCUCAAAGCUCUGGUCCUGGGCGAGGAGGAGCGCGGUCAAAGUCAAUAUCAAGUUAUGUGUUUUGUAACGAAAUUCACAAAAGGCGACUUUUUGUCAGCCGACGCUGUUGCAAAACUCCGACAAAAGAAUCCAAGCACAAUAAGAACGCCCGAGGAGGACAAGGGCAAGGAGAGUUUCACAAUGACGGCAUGGGUGAACCUUAAUCGAUCAGCACCAAUUACAAGGCAUUUAGCGGGAUUGUGUUCGGAAGCGGCCGACGCAACCUACGUAAGGGAUGUUGAUUUGAAAGCAUGGGCCGAACUGCCAGGUUCAUCAAUGUCGAGUUUAGAAUCAGCAAUACAUCAAUUUCCCGUACAAUCAGUUGGUCCUGUCCCGGUCGCAGUUCCGGCAGCUUCAUCAACUUCAGCACCAGUGUUACCGGCCGCAACGCCUUCCUGUCCGCGAUGUAAUGAGGUGUCGAAUCUGCGAAUGCCAUGCUUUUGUGCCCUGGAAAUGUGUGUGGGGUGGUAUCCUUGCGGGUUGAAAUACUGCAAGGGUGAUCGGACCGAUCAAUCAGCGAACGGACAGAAUUCACAGAAUUAUAAAUGUGGUAUCAAAACGUGCCGAAAAUGCAGUCAAUUCAUUUAUUAUGUGAGACAGAAGCAACAUUGCCUGUGGGACGAAUGACGAGUGUGGAGUGAGUGGGGUGCUAUCCGCGAUGGAGGGAUGCAAGCGCUAUGCAUUGAGUUGGGACAGAAAGGAUUAGUAGGCGUUGUGAUACAAUUAUGCGGUCUAGCUGUAAUUCUGUCAAUCGAUUCAAUGCAUCACUAUCGUCGUCAUCAUCAUCGUAGGCGUUAUCACAAAGCUAUGAGUAGCAAUUUUGUAUAUAUGUACUUAUAACGGAAAUUCUGGUAGACUAAGCGACUAAACAUACCAUAAACGUUUCCAGGGCAUUGCAUUUUGUAUUUUGUUAGCAAUAAACAAACAAAAAUCAAAUCGAAUUUUCAUGAGUUUCUGAUAAAGUAAGUUUACUUAGGUUUAUGACUCAUAUGGUUUUUGAAGUAUAAUUUUAUUGUGCCAUAAAAUUGGAUACCAUGUGGUUCUGUAUUCGCCAUCCAAUUUUCUCAAGAUUGAAUUUAUCCGUGUCGAAUUCAUUCCAAAUUCUCUAUGAGCUUUUGAGUACAAAGUAGCUUGUGAUUUUUAGAUAUCUUUUUGUUCUGAUUUUGAAUUCUGUGUGAAGAUACACUUUCUGAGUGUUUCUGCUUGAAAGCUUCUAAUGGAGAUAGUAAGUAACAUAACGAGCCGUAGUAAUCCGAGAAAAAAAAUAAUUCUUUGUACUCUUGUCGCCAUAAACGGAAAACGUCUUUGAUAGUUCCAAAUAGAAUAUUCCGAAAAUGUGACCUUUCGCUUUGUAAAUAUUCUUUCCACUGUUCAAUAGUCUUCAAUCAAUCAAAAUUUCAUUUAACUCCGUUCAUUGAAUAAUUUACUUGAAUCGUACAUUUCCCCUUCCACCUUCCGAACGACUCGCUCUCAAACGUAUAAAUACAUGAUAUCGAACUGCAUGUGUACGCUGCAUGUGCCUAUUCUAUUCUUUCGGAUGUAAAUGAUAAAUCUAUAGUUUCUAGGACUAAACAAUACACACUGAACCAACAAAACAUUUUAGUAUGUAAGUGAAAAUGGAAAAAAGUAGAAUGUAAAAGUCAACAUCGAGUGUUCCAUCGAGUAGUGAUACAAAAAAAA
Molecule: unclassified non-coding RNA, 2135 nt
Filed under: Hermetia illucens (black soldier fly)
Lineage: Eukaryota; Metazoa; Arthropoda; Insecta; Diptera; Stratiomyidae
Description: out at first protein, transcript variant X1
Source: RNAcentral